AGCGAACGCUGGCGGCGUGCUUAACACAUGCAAGUCGAGUGCGUAGUUUUUUGUAGCAAUACAGAAAACAGGCGCACGGCGCACGGGUGCGUAACACGUGGGCAAUCUGCCCUCUGAUGGGGAAUAACCCGCCGAAAGGCGGGCUAACACCGCAUAAAAUCUUUUGGCCUUCGGGCUGGGAGAUCAAAACCGCAAGGUGUCAGAGGAGGAGCCCGCGCCCGAUUAGCUAGUUGGCGGGGUAACGGCCCACCAAGGCUAUGAUCGGUAGCCGGUCUGAGAGGGCGAUCGGCCACACUGGAACUGCGACACGGUCCAGACUCCUACGGGAGGCAGCAGUGAGGAAUCUUGCGCAAUGGGCGAAAGCCUGACGCAGCGACGCCGCGUGGAGGAUGAAGGUCUUCGGAUUGUAAACUCCUGUCGAGCGGGACGAAUGCCGUGAGGGUGAACAAUCCUCGCGGUUGACGGUACCGCU
Molecule: ribosomal RNA, 472 nt
Filed under: uncultured bacterium
Lineage: Bacteria
Description: bacterial SSU rRNA
Rfam family: Bacterial small subunit ribosomal RNA
Source: RNAcentral